The submitters of this non-coding RNA (70 nucleotides) gave its source as unclassified sequences. The record is from Rfam.
CCUCCGGAGCGUUAUACCAAACGUGAGUAGCCAGCAACACAGGCAAAAAACGGACGCGAAGAACGAGGAA